GUGUCGGGUGAGUGUGCGUCUGUGUGUCCCGGCGAGGGUGCGCGCUCGGCGCCGGGAGCGCGGCCAGCCGAGUCCGGAGGCAUCGGGAGGCCGAGAGCCGCCGGGACCCCAGCUCUGCGUUCACUGCCCCGUCUGGAGCUGGACUUCGGGGCCGGGGCCGUGCGCCGGGGACAGGCAGGGCCGGGUCGCGGGCCGCGCGUCCCCCAGGCCGGAGAUCUGCGAGUGAAGAGGGACGAGGGAAAAGAAACAAAGCCACAGACGCAACUUGAGACUCCCGCAUCCCAAAAGAAGCACCAGAUCAGCAAAAAAAGAAGAUGGGCCCCCCGAGCCUCAUGCUGUGCUUGCUGUCCGCAACUGUGUUCUCCCUGCUGGGUGGAAGCUCGGCCUUCCUGUCGCACCACCGCCUGAAAGGCAGGUUUCAGAGGGACCGCAGGAACAUCCGCCCCAACAUCAUCCUGGUGCUGACGGACGACCAGGAUGUGGAGCUGGGUUCCAUGCAGGUGAUGAACAAGACCCGGCGCAUCAUGGAGCAGGGCGGGGCGCACUUCAUCAACGCCUUCGUGACCACACCCAUGUGCUGCCCCUCACGCUCCUCCAUCCUCACCGGCAAGUAUGUCCACAACCACAACACCUACACCAAUAACGAGAACUGCUCCUCGCCCUCCUGGCAGGCACAGCACGAGAGCCGCACCUUUGCCGUGUACCUCAAUAGCACUGGCUACCGGACAGCUUUCUUCGGGAAGUAUCUUAAUGAAUACAACGGCUCCUACGUGCCGCCCGGCUGGAAGGAGUGGGUCGGACUCCUUAAAAACUCCCGCUUUUAUAACUACACGCUGUGUCGGAACGGGGUGAAAGAGAAGCACGGCUCCGACUACUCCAAGGAUUACCUCACAGACCUCAUCACCAAUGACAGCGUGAGCUUCUUCCGCACGUCCAAGAAGAUGUACCCGCACAGGCCAGUCCUCAUGGUCAUCAGCCAUGCAGCCCCCCACGGCCCUGAGGAUUCAGCCCCACAAUAUUCACGCCUCUUCCCAAACGCAUCUCAGCACAUGUAAGCCUCAGCACUCUGCCUGCCAGAGGCACUGCUUAGCAUGAAGGGGGAGGGUCAGGCUUUAGCAACAGUACUGUCACCACCAUGACUUCGCUGUGCCUCCUCUCUAAUCCUCCUGCUUUAAAGACCCCAAGAACAUACUGCUUGUCCAUGGUGAAACUGGGAUGCAACUCCAGACAGCCUGGGCAACAGACCAAGGCAGGAGAAUUUUUAACUUGGGAUACACGGCCUCCCACCAAGAGGUGUGUGGAUGGAAUUGCGUAGAAUAGGUUUCCUUUUAAUGCCAUGUGUAUUUUAUUUAAGACAUCUAAAAACAUUCUUUUGAGGAGGGGGUCUAUAGUUUUACCAGACUAAUUAUUUGCCACCAUUUAUUGAGCUGUGGGCUAUGUAGCAGGUGCUGUGCUAAGCCCUUGGCAUUAUGUCCAGUCCCUGAAUACUCACAAUGACCCUUGGUGUACCAGUUAUCUAUUGCCAUGUAACAAAUCAUCCCAGAAUCUAGCAACUUAAAACAACAAACACAAAUUAUCUCACGGUGUCUGUGAGUCAGGAAUCUGGGAGUGGCUGUUCUGAGCUUCUG
Molecule: small RNA, 1628 nt
Filed under: Pan troglodytes (chimpanzee)
Lineage: Eukaryota; Metazoa; Chordata; Mammalia; Primates; Hominidae
Description: retained intron
Source: RNAcentral